This 301-nucleotide ribosomal RNA is filed under the name uncultured bacterium. Its description in RNAcentral is "partial 16S ribosomal RNA". It matches the Rfam family "Bacterial small subunit ribosomal RNA", at positions 509 to 809 of the family's 1533-position model. The record is from RNAcentral.
CAGUAGCCGCGGGAACACGUAGGUGGCAAGCGUUGUCCGGAAUUAUUGGGCGUAAAGCGCGCGCAGGCGGAUCAGUCAGUCUGUCUUAAAAGUUCGGGGCUUAACCCCGUGAUGGGAUGGAAACUGCUGAUCUAGAGUAUCGGAGAGGAAAGUGGAAUUCCUAGUGUAGCGGUGAAAUGCGUAGAUAUUAGGAAGAACACCAGUGGCGAAGGCGACUUUCUGGACGAAAACUGACGCUGAGGCGCGAAAGCCAGGGGAGCGAACGGGAUUAGAUACCCCUGUAGUCCCUGUCUCUUAUACA